GGAGGAGUUGCUGGGUCAUAUGCUAACUCUUUUUAGGUUUGAGAGCAACUGCCAAGGUGUUUUCCAAAAUGGAUAUAUCAUUAUAUUCUCCCUAUCAAU
Molecule: microRNA precursor, 99 nt
Filed under: Marmota monax (woodchuck)
Lineage: Eukaryota; Metazoa; Chordata; Mammalia; Rodentia; Sciuridae
Source: RNAcentral